GUGCCAGCCGCCGCGGUAAUACGAAGGGGGCUAGCGUUGUUCGGAAUGACUGGGCGUAAAGGGCGCGUAGGCGGCGAUCUAAGUCAGGCGUGAAAGCCCUGGGCUUAACCUGGGAAUUGCGUUUGAUACUGGGUUGCUUGAGUACGGGAGAGGAUGGUGGAAUUCCCAGUGUAGAGGUGAAAUUCGUAGAUAUUGGGAAGAACACCGGUGGCGAAGGCGGCCAUCUGGACCGUUACUGACGCUGAGGCGCGAAAGCGUGGGGAGCAAACAGGAUUAGAAACCCGGGUAGUCC
RNAcentral lists this ribosomal RNA (292 nucleotides) under uncultured bacterium. Its description in RNAcentral is "partial 16S ribosomal RNA". It matches the Rfam family "Bacterial small subunit ribosomal RNA", at positions 505 to 796 of the family's 1533-position model. The record is from RNAcentral.